UGGGGAAUUUUGCACAAUGGGGGAAACCCUGAUGCAGCGACGCCGCGUGAUUUAGAAGGCCUUCGGGUUGUAAAAAUCUUUUGUAUGGGAAGAAAAUGACAGUACCAUACGAAUAAGGACCGGCUAAUUACGUGCCAGCAGCCGCGGUAAUACGUAAGGUCCGAGCGUUGUCCGGAAUCAUUGGGCGUAAAGGGUACGUAGGCGGAUAAGCAAGUUAGAAGUGAAAUCCUAUAGCUCAACUAUAGUAAGCUUUUAAAACUGCUCAUCUUGAGGUAUGGAAGGGAAAGUGGAAUUCCUAGUGUAGCGGUGAAAUGCGCAGAUAUUAGGAGGAAUACCGGUAGCGAAGGCGACUUUCUGGCCAUAUACUGACGCUGAGGUACGAAAGCGUGGGUAGCAAACAGG
Molecule: ribosomal RNA, 402 nt
Filed under: Verrucomicrobiota bacterium
Lineage: Bacteria; Pseudomonadati; Verrucomicrobiota
Description: Verrucomicrobia bacterium partial 16S ribosomal RNA
Rfam family: Bacterial small subunit ribosomal RNA
Source: RNAcentral